GUGAAUCAUCGAAUUUUUGAACGCAAAUUGCACUUUCUGGUAUUCCGGAAAGCAUGCCUGUUUGAGGGUCAGUUAAAUAAACAUCGGUGUUGUUGCUGCUUUUUGUGGUGAGGCGCGGGAAUUGAGUUGUCUUACAUUUGGUUAAGUGACUUAAAUUUUUGCAUGUUUAUUGAACGUAUUUAAAUUUCUUACGUACGUUUGAGAUAUCGAAUACUUUAUUAGGUUCGGUCAUCCUUAUGAUUCGAGAUUAUAAUUUUUUAUUAAAUGA
RNAcentral lists this unclassified non-coding RNA (268 nucleotides) under Glomeraceae sp. RNAcentral describes it as "partial contains 5.8S ribosomal RNA and internal transcribed spacer 2". The stretch from base 1 to 71 matches the Rfam family "5.8S ribosomal RNA", at positions 84 to 154 of the family's 154-position model. The record is from RNAcentral. Lineage: Eukaryota; Fungi; Glomeromycota; Glomeromycetes; Glomerales; Glomeraceae.